UGGGGAAUUUUGCACAAUGGACGAAAGUCUGAUGCAGCGACGCCGCGUGGAGGAUGAAGGUCUUCGGAUUGUAAACUUCUGUUAAGUGGGACGAAAAGCUGUUGGUUAAUACCCAGCAGUGUUGACAGUACCACUAGAGAAAGCACCGGCAAACUUCGUGCCAGCAGCCGCGGUAAUACGAAGGGUGCAAGCGUUAUUCGGAGUUACUGGGCGUAAAGAGCGUGAAGGCGGUCUUUUAAGUCAGUUGUUAAAUCCUACAGCUUAACUGUAGACCAGCAACUGAUACUGGAAGUCUAGAGCGUAAGAGAGAGAAGUAGAAUUCCCGGAGUAGCGGUAAAAUGCGUAGAUCUCGGGAGGAAUACCGAUGGCGAAGGCAGCUUCUUGGCUUAUUGCUGACGCUCAAGCGCGAAAGCGUGGGGAGCAAACAGG
Molecule: ribosomal RNA, 429 nt
Filed under: uncultured bacterium
Lineage: Bacteria
Description: bacterial SSU rRNA
Rfam family: Bacterial small subunit ribosomal RNA
Source: RNAcentral